RNAcentral lists this ribosomal RNA (324 nucleotides) under uncultured eukaryote. Its description in RNAcentral is "partial 18S ribosomal RNA". It matches the Rfam family "Eukaryotic small subunit ribosomal RNA", at positions 1470 to 1796 of the family's 1831-position model. The record is from RNAcentral.
CCCUUAGAUGUUCUGGGCUGCACGCGCGCUACACUGAUGCGCUCAACGAGUUUACGACCUUGCCCGGAAGGGUUGGGUAAUCUUUUUAAAACGCAUCGUGAUGGGGAUAGAUUAUUGCAAUUAUUAAUCUUUAACGAGGAAUUCCUAGUAAGCGCGAGUCAUCAGCUCGUGCUGAUUACGUCCCUGCCCUUUGUACACACCGCCCGUCGCUCCUACCGAUUGGAUGAUCCGGUGAGCUAUUCGGACUUUCGCAUUGUCGAUUUUCGGCUUUACGAGGGAAAGUCUCGCGAACCUUAUCAUCUAGAGGAAGGAGAAGUCGUAACA